GCCCCGAGCGGGAGCAGUUACCUGCGCGGCGGGGAACAUCCCCUGUCCAGAGAAAGGGCCGGGAGCGCGGGCACCACCGUGAGGAACAGCCCGCUCCCCAGAAAACGGGUCAGCAGGCGAUGUGAGGGCAGACGACCAUGUGAUGGAUUAAACAAGUCUUUAAUUAAUGGAAGAUAUGGCAUAUCACGCAAUUUCGUCAUGAGCUUUGCGACACUUUCUGAGAACACUGGGCAGAGCAAUAUUGCAGAGAACUGGUAACCAAGCCUCCCCUACUCUGCGACAAGCUAAACUUCAAUUCUGCAAUAGUCUGGCACAGCAAACUGGCAGUUUUACAAUAACACCAUUUAAGUUAAAAAGAUUAAAGAUUUAGGGUGGGAUUGUCCCACAAAAAGUGAAAAACUGAAAAUCAGAGGGAACUGAGGUCCAGAUCCUCUGAAAGAUCUGGGCCCAAGUACUUAACUUCCUUGGGCAGUUUUGAAAAAUCUCACCCUUAAUCUUCAAUAAAGAUUUAAAACUUCAAUUUAAGUAUACAUGUAUUAAAUCCAAAAAUGAAUACAAAUAUAUUAAGUCAGUAUAGUGGCCUAAUGUGUUAUUUUGCUACUAAAUUCAGCUUAUUUUGUGCUGUCCCCUCCACACUUUCAGUUUUCAUUUUGCCAUAAUCUUUUGUUUGGUAACACAUAACGGUGCAAAUAAAUCUCAGUUGGCUAUUACAACCAUUUGGGAGGAGACUUUUGGCACCCCGGGAGGGAUCAGAGGCAAUUAAGUUGUGUGGGAUAAACAGAUUUGUUGGAUAUUUUACUGCUGAUCAGCAGUGAUAUUUAACAAGGUUGAACAUUUUCAAAAUUUUCUUUAGGUUUCGAAGUUGAUCCAUUGAGAUAUAUAGGGCAGUUUAAGCCUCUUAGAACUACAGUUACAGAAUGUUCGUAAACUCAAGAAGACACCACUACAUUAGUUUGUACUCUGAACACUUUCAGCAAUAUCUUCUAUGAGGGCUAGAAAUAUUUUUAAGUAAAAUUUUAAAUUGGGAAACCCAGUGCAAAGGCAAGGGGUAGAUUCCACAGCCACAAAAAUCACUGUGUAUGUACGGACCAAGGAGAGAGAACACUCGGAGACACAUUCAAUUUUUUCUAUAAUUUACACAACAAUGCUGUCAUCAUAACCAAGGAGAGAUGUGCAACAUAAUCUGCCAAAUAAAUGUAUAUAAAUGCAGCUGCAGACAUUUUCUAAAAUCUUAUAUAUUCAGAGAGUGUGUACACACUGAUAGUACUGUCGCAGUGACUGAACUGAGAAUUCAAAUGUGGAGGGCUAAAACCCUUACAUGGUCAAUCUCUCCUAUGCAAAAUAUAUAUUUGUAAUUGAUACCAUCAGGUGUCUUCCAAAAGCAAAUAUUUGCUCUUCUGACAUAUCUUUAUCAUCCAGAGAUUUGUGUCUUCAUUGGCAGUGAGUGAUGUUUUAGCAGUAGCCAGAGAAGGCUGGGCAAUCCCCCUUCUAAUUCCCCACAUUCACUUUGUAUAGCAAAGUUGGGGUUUUUUUCGUGAAAGGAGAUAAUGUGUGUACACAGGAUAUGUGAUCCAUAGAAGGCUUGAUUUCUAGAAAGCAGGCAAACUUUCAUUUAGGUAUCCAUCCCAUGCAGAAGAAGGGACAAGAAAGUAUGUAGUGAGGAGAGAGGGAAUGAUCCUACAACAACUCACUCAGAGUCCACUACAGAAAUAUGAACAUGGGCAGGAAAUAAGACAACAAAAUAGCCAUAAUUAAUAAUAAGAAAGCAGGUAGAAACUAAAGAAACGGCACUAAUAUACUACAGUAACCAGAGUAGACAACUAGCAAUAUUAAUACUAUUACUCGAAAUAGUCUAUUUUCCCCAAUGUCUGCAAAGGAACAAUAAACAAAUACAGAACUUAAAAAAAAAUUAUCCUAGAAGUUGCCUCUUUCUAGCUUUUUGGCCCCUUCCUUUCCUCUCCCUUCCCAUCUCUCACUCAUUCUCUGCCUUCUCACCAUUUUUUCUCAUUCACAUUUCUAUACAGUGUAUUCUCUUAUAUUUAUUAGUCCUUCAGGAUUUCACCUUCUGUAGGACUCUCCCUCCCCACCACCAUCUGUCAACUGUCUUCUUCCCUUGACCCCCUUGGAUUUCCACACUUAGGAUUUCCUUCUUUGCCACCUUUGUUCCUCUCCUUGUCCCCCAGGAUUUUCCCUCCACUCUCCACCCUGGGAUUCUCCCCUCCCCUCCAUCCUCUCUUUCCCUCACUCCCAUGGGAUUCUCUCCACCAUCCCCUCUACUACUUUCCUGGAAUUUUCUUCUCCCCUUUUGUCACUCCUUACAAGGCCCCAAGAGGCAGGACUACAGUGAUAGAAGAAGAGAGACGGAAAGAGGCUGGGGACCCUCCAAGGCAAGGGGUAUUUCUCUGUCUUACUCCUCACACCUUACUCUCCUUCACUGCAGGGCUAGCAAUGCGAGGAAGAAGAGACUAAUGCUGACAGGCCAGUGGGGGUUGCCAUAAUGCUCCUCUGCACUUUGCUGUGGUGCUGGAAGUGGCUUGAAAAACAGCUUUUUUACCUCCUCCCAGAUGCUGGAUAAAUGCGGGGGGGGGGGGGGGGGGCAACAGGACCACAGAGAUAAAUGCAGAGCUGUCCUACAAGACUGUUAGAUCAUAGAAUUGUCCCACAAGGGAAAUAACAUAAGAAUGGCCCUACUGGGUCAGACCAAAGAUCCAUCU
Long non-coding RNA from Terrapene triunguis (Three-toed box turtle), 2714 nucleotides. RefSeq lists it as uncharacterized. The transcript is spliced from 3 exons. The record is from RefSeq and is a predicted model, not a curated record. Lineage: Eukaryota; Metazoa; Chordata; Testudines; Emydidae.